This 4772-nucleotide long non-coding RNA is filed under the name Equus caballus (horse). RNAcentral's name for it is "lncRNA (ENSECAG00000052817.1)". Lineage: Eukaryota; Metazoa; Chordata; Mammalia; Perissodactyla; Equidae. The record is from RNAcentral.
GUCAGAAGUGAGAAUCCAGGGUUUUUGAUGCAUCAUUGCCAAGAAAAAUGACAGGAGUAGUGGUGGGGAGAUGGGCCCUGUAAAUAAGGGGGGGCGGGAUAGUCUGUGGGCUGAUGGCAUGAGCUCAGAAGACCUGGGGUCGGCAAGGAGAAGAUACGCUGGAUGUCUCCAAAUGCCUUCCUUGGGGGUGAGAUAAAAAACGGCCACCCGUGAAGUUUGCAAGGGAGGUAGCAUCCUCAGAAGACAGUGAGGUUUCGGAGGAUGUGGAGUUGACUGCGCUGGAGCGAGGGCAGGGCAAGACUCCUGCUGGCGGGAGAGGGACAGUCAGGCCCACUGCCUCCUGAUGGGACGUGGCUCUGCUCAUUUGUGGGGCAGGGAGUGAUGAGAGAAGGGGCAUGCUUACCAUGAGUUCUCGGGGCCCCCCUCAAUGAACUGAAAUCGUCAGUGACGUCAGCGGUUCUCAGAGUUCCUGGUGGGCAUGGGAUGAGCAUUUCCUGCGAGAGCUUCUUGGUACACGUCUGUCGCUCCUCAGAUCUGAUGUCCACCACCCAGCUAGGGGGUCGACCAGAGAUGGGUGUUUUAAAAGAAUGUCCCAGGUGUUGUGAAAAACCUCCUAAUCCCCUACUAGAACCAUAGUUUUUGUUUUGUUUUGUUUUUUGAGGAAGAUCAGCCCUGAGCUAACACCUGCUGCCAGCCCUCCUCUUGUUGCUGAAGAAGACUGGCCCUGAGCUAACAUCCGUGCCCAUCUUCCUCUACUUUCUACGUGGGAUGCCUACCACAGCAUGGCUUGCCAAGCGGUGCCAUGGCCGCACCCGGGAUCCGAACCGGCGAACCUCGGCCCCUGAAAAGUGGAACGUGCACACUUAACCACUAUGCCACCGGGCUGGCCCCCAGAACCAUAGUUUAAUAGGAACAUACAAUGUGACUUACAGAAAUGUUUCCAUACUACUUUUAAGGAACACAUCUGUAGCACAAAUCAAGUGCAUUGACGGAAAAAAUUCUGUAUUUUAUUUAUACAUUAAUGUAUACAGAUGUGCUGAAAACUAUUGAAAAGCUAUUUGUGGAUAUGAAUCCAAUGGAGUCAACUCAUGAGACUAUGAAAUACACGUAUUAGCAAAGUGUUGUGUUAAGAAAACUGUGACUCCCCCAUUCAAAGUAGCUUUUGAAGACACUAGAAGUACUUUUGAAAGCCAAAAAAGAUGAACCCUCACAAAGCUGAAAACAACACUGCAGACGUCAUCUAGGUGGAGUCACUAACAACUGAAAGAAGACAGAGUUUAAGGGAAAAAACCCAUAAGCUUUGGCACAUGAAACAGAGACCUCCCUCCUGAAAAAUAAAAAUGAAAUUAAAUGAUUAUGCUCUCAUUGCUAAAACAGCAAUGUGUAUGACCUGCACCUCUGCCUUGCUCGUAACACUAGUGACGUAGCUGGUCCCUGUGUGCUGAUUCAGGUAAUUUGUAAAUAGAUUUAAGGUAAGUCCAGUGUAAUGACUACAUUCUUUUAAAGUUAAUAGGCUGUGGCUCCAUAAUGUUAAAUCAUGAGUUUAAGCCUAUUCUCUUUAGAAAUAAAAAGUCAUUUCUAUACGUUCCUCUCAAUUCUCUAUUACACAGGAAGUUACUUCAGGGUGGGGAUUAUAUCUUGGGUUUUUCUAGCACUUCUUAUCCCACCUCAUGUAACCUCCAGCCCCUGUCCUGGCGACAGGCCACAUACCAGAACACACUUAUUUAACUGAAUGACUGGAAAACUUAUUAGCCUUUCUUAUGAUGGAGUCACUUCACAGUGCUCCUUGGGAAAGCUGUGGAAGGCUGUACCAGUUCCAGAAGGCCUGUCCCAUUUUUAAUGGAAUUUCUUUUUCUGUAUUUAUUCCUCUUUCUUUCUAAUUCUGCUCCUUUGGUCCUCACAUCUUAUGGCUUGCAUAGUAACAAGAGGAAAUGCCUGUUACAUGUGCUUCCUGUUGAAACCUAAGUGAUAUUACUAGCCUGUAAGGUGCCACGCCUCUAGAUUGUCUCCUAUGAAUGACCAGAAACUGAUAAGUAAGUAUUUGCAGUCAAGAAUAACAGGGAGGGCUGGCCCCGUGGCCGAGUGGUUAAGUUCGCACCCUCUGCUUCUGCAGCCCGGGGUUUCGCUGGUUUGGAUCCUGGGCGCAGACAUGGCACUGCUCAUCAGGCCACGCUGAAGCAACAUUCCACAUGCCACAACUAGAGGGACCUACAACUAGAAUAUACAACUUUGCACUGCGGGCUUUGGGGAGAAGAAGGGGAAAAAAGGAUUGGCAACAGAUGUUAGCUCAGGUGCCAGUCUUUAAAAAAAAAAAAAAUCAGGGAGAAAUGGAAGAAUAAGAUGUUUAAGCAAGAAAGGUCAAAGCUUAAAGUUGAGUUAUUUAAUUACUAGGAUCCUGAGGACUAUGUCCCCAGGCACUAAGUGGGGGUGUUUUUUCCCAAAAAUGUAGUGAACCUAAAUUGUCUUCAUAGAACUUCUGGUAAUCUUUUGGGUCAUAAUCAGGGAAAGAAUGGGUGGGAACCAGAGGAUAACUUGGAAAGGAAAAGAGACAUACAGUAUAUCUUUAUAGGGGCUGCCCUUGGUUCACCUCCAGGCCCUGCCCAUGCUGCUCCCCUUACUUGGAAAACCCUUUCUACGCCAUCGCUGCUUCUCACGCUGAGCCCCAUGCAUCCUUCAGGACUAGCCUAAGGGUCCUGACCACUCCCCCAUCUGGGUGAUUCUCUAACACUUUCUGCCUAUCUGUGUCACAGCCCCUGUUGCACUGUGUUAUCAUCGGCAUUCUCCCUGAAACACAGGAACUAUGUUCUCCCUCAACCAAGAUAGCUAUGACGUCUUAGUGCCACCCCUCCCCCCCAACCUGGCACAUAAUAGGCAUUCAGUAAAUGUUUGCUGAGUCAAUUUUAAAUGAUUCUAAGAGAGAAAAUGAGUUGAAGACCUGGAAACAAAAUUAAAGAAACAGUCUCUUUGGGAUGAAAGAAGAAAUAUACUAUACCAUGCUAGAUAGAAAUUGAAGGAAAAUCUGGGAGAUAGAAUGAGAAUAGUGCCAUAAGGUGGAUAUAAACCCCAUGAAAUUCAGGUGUGUACCACCUCUGAGGUUUCUGGAGCUUUGGGGGUCUAGAGCAAGAUGCAAGAUCCUCUCCAAAAUGGAAGACAAGUUGUUACUCCUUGUGUCACCCUCCACAACACUUGGUGGCUUUCUUGGAUCUUGGAAGCUGCAUACACCACAUUCCAAUGUGCUGCCGCCACUCAUUCACCACGUAGCCUGUGAGACUGCCGAUCGGCUAUGCAGUGGAAGCCAGAGAAGGCCCCAUGUCCUCAGGCUGCAGUGCAAACCACUCUGCCACGUGGGCUUUGUUGACCCAGCAGGGCUCCAAGCGGAGCGUCUGUGGCAAAUACAAAUGCCAUAUGCUGGCUCAACGGAGAGUUCCCGGCCUCUCUAUGAUUUUGGAGCACAGCCAUAUCCUCCUCUGCAAAACACUGUUGCCUUUUUGAGAACAGCUCCUAGAUGGCUACUGAACUGUCUACUACAAGAUAUCAAGAGCCCUGUGUUCUGAGCUGACUAGUGUGAACCGAGCAGUAAGACUGAGCAUGCCCAGCAGCAGUCUGUCGUUCAAUGAAAACAGCACAUGAGAUACGAGGCUCAGCCGGUCCUGAGGCAAGCUGUAUGAGCAAAUGGCUCAGACUCUUGUGGCCGCUGCUCUGUGGCUUUGCCACCUUUCCCUCAAUUCACAUCCUUGGCCUCAUGAGGUAUUUCCGUGUGAUCAGUUAACCAAGGAAGCAAAAACCAGAACCUGGUUUUAAGACAGAAUGCUGGCACCAUCUGGACUGCAAUAGUAUCAGUCUAGUGGUAAAGGGAAAUCCUCUUUGUGGGCAGAACUUGAAGCCGUACGUUUGCCUAGACUAUGAGAUGCCCAGGAGAUGCAGAUCCAUCCAGCUGCACAGGCAGUGGUCAACGGCUGGCUCCGUAGUCAGGGACUUGAAAGGAACAGGACUGGAAAUUAGUGACACCUCAAUCAGCUGGACAAAGUGACCCAUCUGUGAAUAUCAGCCUCUUUCCAUAGCCACCCUGUAUUUGCUCAAUAGCCUGUGUAUAAAGUUGCUGCACCUGAGAGGACAGAUGCUAUGCGUGGGCUAAGUAUUGUGGACGCCCCCUCCCCGCGGCCGAAAUGGCUACCACUACUGUGUUCCUAACCUGUCCUCAGCGGAGACCUACUUUGAUUUCUCAAUAUGGCCUCACUCCUUGGGGAAACAAGGCAGCCACCAGAUAGCAGGUUGAUGACAUUGGACCCUUCCAUCAUACGGCAACUUGUCCUCAGUGGAAUAGACACGCAGGCUUUGGUAUGAGUUUUCCUACCCUGCCUGCAGUGUCUCUGCCAACAUCACAACCAUCUAGGGGCCUACAGAAUGCCUUCACCAUUACCGUGGGACCUCCACAACAUUGCUCUGAUCAAAUACCUCAUUUCAUGGCGAAAGCAGUGUGGCAAUGGGAAUUUACUGGUCUCACCAAAACCUGUCCCCCCAAAGAGCAGCUGGCUUGAGAGAAAGGUCGAAGGUCCCACCAAAGACUCAGUUGCAGUGACUGUUGGUAUACCGUCCUACAGGGUGAAGUAUAUGCUUUGAGUCUGCAACAAACGUUUUUUUCCCAUCACUGAAUACGCAGGUCUGAGAAUCAAGAUUGGAAGUGAGAGCACUCCCUCUUCACCUACUCGCAGAAUUUUAAGGUCUUAGAUCCCAAAGGAGAGAUGCUUCCACCAGGGGACACAAUAACUUUC